RNAcentral lists this unclassified non-coding RNA (240 nucleotides) under soil metagenome. Its description in RNAcentral is "partial contains 5.8S ribosomal RNA, internal transcribed spacer 2, and large subunit ribosomal RNA". The record is from RNAcentral.
AACACUGUUAACCUGCGGUACCUGCGGAGGGAUCAUUACAGAGUUGCAAAACUCCCUAAACCAUUGUGAACGUUACCUAAACCGUUGCUUCGGCGGGCGGCCCGGGUCCUUCCCGGCGCCCAUCGGCCCUCGCGGGCGCCCGCCGGAGGUAAACCAAACUAUUGCAUUGUAUGGCCUCUCUGAGUCUUCUGUACUGAAUAAGCCAAAACUUUCAGCAACGGAUCUCAGAUCGGAAGAGCA